UAAUGGAUGCAAGCUAAACAGAC
This 23-nucleotide non-coding RNA is filed under the name Cricetulus griseus (Chinese hamster). Lineage: Eukaryota; Metazoa; Chordata; Mammalia; Rodentia; Cricetidae. The record is from RNAcentral.